GACGAACGCUGGCGGCGUGCCUAACACAUGCAAGUCGAACGGAAAGGCCCUGCUUUUUUGGGGUGCUCGAGGGGCGAGCGGGUGAGUUACCCGUGAGUAACCUGCCCUUGGCUUUGGGAUGACUUCAGGCAACUGGGGCUAAUACCGGCUAGGAGCUCCUGCUGCAUGGUGGGGGUUGGAACGCUUCGGCGGUUGGGGAUGGACUCGCGGCUAAUCAGCUUGUUGGGGGGGGAGUGGCUUAGCAAGUCUUUGACGGGUGGCCGGCCUGAGAGGGUGGCCGGCCUCCUUGGGACUGAGGGACGGCCCAGACUCCUACGGUAGGCAGCAGUGGAGAGUAUUGCACAGUGGGCGGGAGCGUGAUGCAGCAGCGCCCCGUGCGUGAAGACCUCCUUCGUGUUGUAAACCGCUUUCGCCUGUGACGAAGCGUUAGUGACGUUACUGGGUAAAGAAGCACCGGCUAACUACGUG
Molecule: ribosomal RNA, 468 nt
Filed under: uncultured bacterium
Lineage: Bacteria
Description: partial 16S ribosomal RNA
Rfam family: Bacterial small subunit ribosomal RNA
Source: RNAcentral